RNAcentral lists this ribosomal RNA (500 nucleotides) under uncultured bacterium. RNAcentral's name for it is "partial 16S ribosomal RNA". It matches the Rfam family "Bacterial small subunit ribosomal RNA", at positions 30 to 523 of the family's 1533-position model. The record is from RNAcentral.
AUUGAACGCUGGCGGCAUGCCUUACACAUGCAAGUCGAACGGCAGCACGGACUUCGGUCUGGUGGCGAGUGGCGAACGGGUGAGUAAUAUAUCGGAACAUAUCUUGUAGUGGGGGAUAACUAUCCGAAAGCAUCGCUAAUACCGCUUACGCUCUAAGGAGGAACGUGGGGGAUCCCAAGACCUCAUGCUAUAUGAGUGGCCGAUAUCUGAUUAGCUAGUUGGUGAGGUAAAGGCUCACCAAGGCGACGAUCAGUAGAUGGUCUGAGAGGACGACCAGCCACACUGGAACUGGGACACGGUCCAGACUCCUCCGGGAGGAAGCAAUGGGGAAUUUUAGACAAUGGGGGCAACCCUGAUCCAGCAAUGCCGCGUGAGUGAAGAAGGCCUUCGGGUUGUAAAGCUCUUUUGUCAGGGAAGAAACGGUUGUGGCUAAAAUCCAUGGCUAAUGACGGUACCUGAAGAAUAAGCACCGGCUAACUACGUGCCAGCCGCCGCGGUAA